RNAcentral lists this non-coding RNA (29 nucleotides) under Rattus norvegicus (Norway rat). The record is from RNAcentral. Lineage: Eukaryota; Metazoa; Chordata; Mammalia; Rodentia; Muridae.
UAACUGAAUCUCAGUGUUGUUGGUCUAUU